UACGAAGGGGGCUAGCGUUGCUCGGAAUCACUGGGCGUAAAGGGUGCGUAGGCGGGUCUUUAAGUCAGGGGUGAAAUCCUGGAGCUCAACUCCAGAACUGCCCUUGAUACUGGAAAGCUUGAGUUCGGGAGAGGUGAGUGGAACUGCGAGUGUAGAGGUGAAAUUCGUAGAUAUUCGCAAGAACACCAGUGGCGAAGGCGGCUCACUGGCCCGAUACUGACGCUGAGGUGCGAAAGCGUGGGGAGCAAACAGG
This 253-nucleotide ribosomal RNA is filed under the name uncultured bacterium. RNAcentral describes it as "partial 16S ribosomal RNA". It matches the Rfam family "Bacterial small subunit ribosomal RNA", at positions 524 to 776 of the family's 1533-position model. The record is from RNAcentral.